AUUCACCCCAGGUAUGGAGGCUGUUGGAGAAGUGAUAGCUGUGGGCCCUGGACUUACUGGUAGGAACAUUGGAGAUAUUGUAGCCUAUGCUGGCAAUCCUAUGGGCUCAUAUGCUGAAGAGCAGAUCCUUCCUGCAAACAAGGUUGUGCCCGUUCCUUCCUCCAUCAGUCCUGUUAUUGCAGCAUCUGUUAUGCUUAAGGGAAUGACUACUCAGUUCCUAGUCCGCCGUUGCUUCAAGGUUGAACCUGAGCAUACCAUCCUUGUUCAUGCUGCAGCUGGUGGAGUUGGCUCUCUCUUAUGCCAGUGGGCAAAUGCCCUGGGUGCCACUGUCAUUGGAACCGUCUCAUCCAAGGAGAAGGCGGCACAAGCCAAGGAUGAUGGAUGUCACCAUGUAAUAAACUAUAAAGAAGAAGAUUUUGUUCUCCGUGUCAAUGAGAUCACAUCAGGCAGGGGUGUCAAUGUUGUCUAUGAUUCUGUGGGGAAAGACACCUUUCAGGGAUCACUGGCAUGCCUGAAGACUCGUGGGUACAUGGUGAGUUUUGGGCAGUCAUCAGGUACACCAGAUCCACUUCCAUUGUCAGCGCUUGCGCCAAAAGCACUGUUCUUGACAAGGCCUUCCCUCAUGCUCUACACUGAAACUCGAGAUGAGCUGCUGGAAACUGCUGGAGAGGUAUUUGCCAACAUUGCUUCAGGUGUAUUGCGAGUUCGAGUAAACCAUACAUACCCUUUGUCUGAGGCAGCACAAGCACAUGCGGACCUCGAGAGUCGGAAAACAUCUGGGUCAAUUGUAUUGAUACCAUGAAGCAAAUGUUUAGUUGCCAGCUAUGCUCAACUCUUCAUUGAGGAAUCUACUCUUGGUGAUUUGCACUUUAUUAGUGCCAGGUUGUGUAAGAUAAAUAAUGUGUGUUAUGGCAGUUGGAAAAAGAAAUCAAAACAUGCAAGGAUAAUUUU
RNAcentral lists this unclassified non-coding RNA (951 nucleotides) under Hevea brasiliensis (rubber tree). The record is from RNAcentral. Lineage: Eukaryota; Viridiplantae; Streptophyta; Magnoliopsida; Malpighiales; Euphorbiaceae.